RNAcentral lists this ribosomal RNA (497 nucleotides) under uncultured bacterium. RNAcentral's name for it is "partial 16S ribosomal RNA". It matches the Rfam family "Bacterial small subunit ribosomal RNA", at positions 28 to 507 of the family's 1533-position model. The record is from RNAcentral.
GAUGAACGCUGGCGGCGUGCCUAAUACAUGCAAGUCGAGCGAACGGACGAGAAGCUUGCUUUUCUGAUGUUAGCGGCGGACGGGUGAGUAACACGUGGAUAACCUACCUAUAAGACUGGGAUAACUUCGGGAAACCGGAGCUAAUACCGGAUAAUAUUUUGAACCGCAUGGUUCAAAAGUGAAAGACGGUCUUGCUGUCACUUAUAGAUGGAUCCGCGCUGCAUUAGCUAGUUGGUGAGGUAACGGCUUACCAAGGCAACGAUGCAUAGCCGACCUGAGAGGGUGAUCGGCCACACUGGAACUGAGACACGGUCCAGACUCCUACGGGAGGCAGCAGUAGGGAAUCUUCCGCAAUGGGCGAAAGCCUGACGGAGCAACGCCGCGUGAGUGAUGAAGGUCUUCGGAUCGUAAAACUCUGUUAUUAGGGAAGAACAUAUGUGUAAGUAACUGUGCACAUCUUGACGGUACCUAAUCAGAAAGCCACGGCUAACUACGUG